Equus caballus (horse) is the source of this 471-nucleotide long non-coding RNA. RefSeq lists it as uncharacterized. Lineage: Eukaryota; Metazoa; Chordata; Mammalia; Perissodactyla; Equidae. The record is from RefSeq and is a predicted model, not a curated record.
GCAGUUGCCACCCUGAGGAUCUCUCACAGCAAGAAUGCAGUGGGAUUAAUUGCCACAAAAAGCGGAGGCAGAUUUUGACCUCUCUCUUCAGAGGCUGAGGUGACAUCCUUCCUUCUAUGUCUUCCUAAAAUGUGCAGGCACUUUGAAGAGAUUCUUUGGAGAAGAAAGUAAUGAGCAACAUAAUCAAAGAUCACUGAAAAUGUAGUGUCAGAGCUACAUCAUUGGCACAUGAUUGCAGUGAUUCUCAUGCAAGUGGCUCAUUCAUCACAUUUGGAAAACAUGAACUACUGUAAUAAAGGGCUAUGCAUGGCUUGAACAUCUCCCAUACCUCACUGCUUUCUUCUCUUUCUGGCUUGCCACUUAGCAUAUAUAUAACAGAUUUACCUAGGUGAUUUCCAUCUGUUAUCAUGUGUAUCUGUAAGAUAACAGGACCCAGGAGGGAACAACUUCCUUACUCCCACCCCAAUACCU